This 309-nucleotide long non-coding RNA is filed under the name Capsella rubella. RNAcentral describes it as "long non-coding RNA (CRUB_LNC001934)". The record is from RNAcentral. Lineage: Eukaryota; Viridiplantae; Streptophyta; Magnoliopsida; Brassicales; Brassicaceae.
AAAAAUGAAUUUCAUACCAGUAUUUUUUUGUGUUUUUUUUGUGUGUGUCAAGAACACUUUCAUCAUUCUUUGUUUAUAUAUCCAACCAAUCACCAACUCAAAUCCGACUAAUAGAUCCGACUAAGACGUAUUUAAAAACCACUAAAAGUAUGCAAUACUAAACAAAAAUAAACAUCUGUCUACGUUGUCUUGUACUAUAUUUUAUAAUAACAAUUUGGCAGCACUGUUAAUUACUUGUAAAUUGUGUUUUAAUUAAAAAGUUAUUUAGGUGAUGUAUUCAAAGUAAAAUUUUAAGAGAUUUGUAUAGAA